ACUGUUUUACCCAUGUAUGUCUUUAAGGUAUAAGUAUAGGGUGAAAUUUGUCUAACUCAAUCUUAUCUAAUUCUCAGAUGAGUUUCCUGCUUUCAAUUACCAGCAACUUAAGGGGAGAAGAUCUGGGUAAACGUUACCCUCCUUUUAAUACAGAAACCAGAGUUGGCAUAAAUGUUCAAGUGAAAAUCCACCUGAAUAUUCCAGCAAAAUACAAGCUGUAUUCCAGGGUUAAGUACAAAAAGAUCCUUUCUGUAAACAAAAGGAGUUGUCUUCUGAAAAUAACCUAACAUAAUAUGAAACAAGUUUGCUUUCUGCUGCAUACAGGUGUCUGAAACAAGAUCCAACAAAGGUUAAAGCCACUUAAUAUUGAGUCCAAAUUCAGUCAAACUUUUGUUAACUUUUUCUAGUAAAACAGUUCAAAUUCUGGGCAUAUGGCACAUUCAAAAAUAAUAUGUUUUCAGCACUUAAAUUACUUGGAUGGUAAAGGAAGAUAAUAGUUUUUUGUUGUUCUGAUUUGACGAUCAUAGUGCUUUUUCAAUACCUGCCUUAAAUCACUAGAAUGUAUUUCUUUUUUUAAAAGAUAAACUGCAAUAUAGUCCUGUAUUUUGUCAAUAUGCAACUUGUUCAUUUCCCAAUAUUUCCAAUUUGAGAUUAUUACAGAUAGAAAUAUAACCCUUUGAAAUGCACUGUCCUGGGCUUAAGUUUUAAAAAUCCACAUCCUUGGAAGAAGGGGGUUCAUGUUUAUAUUUUAGUGGACUGACUCAUCUGCUUUGUACUGAUUUAUUCUCUUUAAGGAGAAUUUGGAAGAAAUUCAGUAAAGCUGAUUGGAAAAUGCAUAGUUAAUCUCAUGUUUUCACCAUACAGACAAUUUAAUAUCUCCUUCCAAGUGAUGUAGAUUUACUUCAUGUUGUUCAUGACAGUGACAUAUAGAAGCUAAUUUUAAACUUAGUAGUGGACUCUUCCAUAUCAAGCAGAGAGAGGAAUUUUUGAAAUAUAAAAACUAGAGAACAAAAUAGCCUAAAAAUAUUGAGCUUUGGUCACAGUCCUCUCACGUAAGAGCUGACUCUUUGUACAUAGAAUUUUUUUCUUUUAACAAGUCGCAUUUGGGUGGGUGGGGGGAGAUAAAAAGGCAGUUGUAAAAUUGCUUCA
RNAcentral lists this long non-coding RNA (1149 nucleotides) under Bos taurus (domestic cattle). RNAcentral describes it as "long non-coding RNA NONBTAT002673". The record is from RNAcentral. Lineage: Eukaryota; Metazoa; Chordata; Mammalia; Artiodactyla; Bovidae.